Molecule: ribosomal RNA, 556 nt
Filed under: Serratia marcescens
Lineage: Bacteria; Pseudomonadati; Pseudomonadota; Gammaproteobacteria; Enterobacterales; Yersiniaceae
Description: partial 23S ribosomal RNA
Rfam family: Bacterial large subunit ribosomal RNA
Source: RNAcentral
GCAGGUACGAAAGUAGGUCUUAGUGAUCCGGUGGUUCUGAAUGGAAGGGCCAUCGCUCAACGGAUAAAAGGUACUCCGGGGAUAACAGGCUGAUACCGCCCAAGAGUUCAUAUCGACGGCGGUGUUUGGCACCUCGAUGUCGGCUCAUCACAUCCUGGGGCUGAAGUAGGUCCCAAGGGUAUGGCUGUUCGCCAUUUAAAGUGGUACGCGAGCUGGGUUUAGAACGUCGUGAGACAGUUCGGUCCCUAUCUGCCGUGGGCGUUGGAAGAUUGAGAGGGGUUGCUCCUAGUACGAGAGGACCGGAGUGAACGCACCACUGGUGUUCGGGUUGUCAUGCCAAUGGCAUUGCCCGGUAGCUAAGUGCGGAAAAGAUAAGCGCUGAAAGCAUCUAAGCGCGAAACUUGCCUCAAGAUGAGUCUUCCCUGGGCCUUCAAGGCCCCUGAAGGAACGUUUAAGACUAAGACGUUGAUAGGCUGGGUGUGUAAGUGCAGCGAUGCAUUGAGCUAACCAGUACUAAUGAUCCGUGAGGCUUAACCUUACAACACCGAAGGUGUUU